GUGCUUACAUCGGCAGCACAUGUGCUAAAAUUGGAAUGAUACCAAGAAGAUUAGCAUGGUCCCUGUACAAGGAGGACACAUAAAUUUGUGAAGUGUUCCAUAAUUUU
Choloepus hoffmanni (Hoffmann's two-fingered sloth) is the source of this 107-nucleotide small nuclear RNA. Lineage: Eukaryota; Metazoa; Chordata; Mammalia; Pilosa; Megalonychidae. The record is from Ensembl.